Ananas comosus (pineapple) is the source of this 485-nucleotide long non-coding RNA. RefSeq lists it as uncharacterized. The record is from RefSeq and is a predicted model, not a curated record. Lineage: Eukaryota; Viridiplantae; Streptophyta; Magnoliopsida; Poales; Bromeliaceae. The transcript is spliced from 3 exons.
CACCUCGUACUUCCCCAGCAGCACUCGGCUCUUCCCGUUGCCGCCGCCGGGCUUCGAGUCCAUUAACAAUGCCUCUUCUGUCAUUUGCGGUGACAUGCUACGUGUGCAAGUUCUUACUAUGAAAGCCUUACAAUAAUUGUGCCAUUACACAGAGAUACAAAAUCAGCUCAUAUUCCAUACCCAAAAGCAAGCAAGAUUUUGAUGCUAGUCACGCUUAGUCGAUCGGCCAAUUGAGUUUUAGAUGUUCCUUUCGCUGUCUCGGUGUUAAUUUAUUGAAGUGGGUGAUGAAGCUGAAAUAGUUUAUGCUGCGAUUGCAUUGACCUAAACUUAAUGAGAUAAAGUCUUAACAUUUUGAUGUUUGUUGCUAGUUGAUGUCGUAUUGGUAUCUUGCUGUACGUAAUUAAAGGUUUGUAUUUUAAUUCUCUGUUUUCUAUCAAGUUUUUGUACUUAUUGCUCUUCGACUAAAUUUGCAUUGCUUGCUAUGC